RNAcentral lists this long non-coding RNA (2174 nucleotides) under Mus musculus (house mouse). RNAcentral describes it as "predicted gene, 47601". The record is from RNAcentral. Lineage: Eukaryota; Metazoa; Chordata; Mammalia; Rodentia; Muridae.
AAUAAUUACUUAAGAACAAGCGAAAAUGAAGUUCUUCCUAAAACUGAAGAUACUUUGAAACAUAGUGACUACAGCUGUUUGGUAGUAAGUUGUACUCUGGGGAGGCGCAUACAAGCGAGGAUGGCCAGAAGAUGACAGGGAUGACGGGUUACGUUUCAUUAAAAAAUAUAUUGCUGUUAAUCACCACUCUCCACUCUCUUCUUCUCAAAGUCACGGAGGAAAGAAACUCUUUUUUCAUUUUAGCUCACAUCUGAAAUGGGAGCACAUGGCUACCCAAUGAGUGUUGGCAGAAUGCUGGGAAGGCAGAGGAGAGGCAAGAUCUCCAUUAGCCUCAUGUUGUUAAUUGCCAUCCCUGCAAACACACCUCCUACAGAGCAGAGGACACACUGGAAUCCCUUCCAGGGAGCUGAAGAAUCAUUCCAUGGGGAAAGAAGAACAACAAAGUAGAAGCAUCUUUUGUCUGCAACAGGGGCUUCUGGUGUCUUUAAAUCUUGGUUCAUAAGUAAAUGACUAAGAUCUAACGGCCUUGGAGUUAGGUACUGGUGAUACCACUUCACAGUCAUAGUACUCACUGUGGGUGUAGCAAAAAAAAAAAAAAAAAAUCAGCCACAGCAUCCUCUCAUUAUGGGCUCUGAAAGAUUGUUCAGGGCAGCAGGAAGAAGCAAGGUGUGGAACUUAGAGCUGUGUCUCUACAGACCCCAGUUUUCCCAAUCAUCCUAGACAGCCAUGGCAAAUGCCUUUAGGGGGCAGGAACAUCACUUUCCUUCCAUCUUCUUUAUUCUAUAAAAGACAAAAUACAAACAAACAUAAAUAAUUAACUCGAAGGAGGUUGGAGGUCCAGAAGAAAUAUGAAGUCAGGGAGUUGCAGGGUGUUAGGGUGGCUUAGGUGGAGUCACUGAGGGAAUGACGCUAGCCUCCCAAUUUUCUCACAGCCCCUCACCUUCCUACCUGUACAAGGCUAAUGCUUUCUGAAGGCUCUUCCAUUGUAUAGCGUCUAAAGAGAAUUUCUCUGAAGAGUUAAAAAGUAAUAUACUGUGUAAUAAAUUUGAGGAGCACCAGAAAGACAUGAUUUCAAGAGUCCAGAAUUUGUACAUGCACACUGAUAUUGAACCUUCAUAAAAUGAAGGUUACCUCCUUAAUUUGAGGUUUUGAUUUCUGAAUAACAGAUGCAACAUUCGACAGGAGGAGGAAGCAGAUUAGCUUGUUACCUUUUUUUUUUUAUUUAUGUGAAAUGUUUUCUGAAUAUUUAAGAGGAAAGCAAAUAUGGUGGUAGGAGGGGCUUAUGGGACGUGAACGUACCAGAUUAGCAGGAAAUGGCACAGAAGGGGCAUAGUUACAAAGUGGUUUAGGUAAUGUAUACUGAUCUCAUGUUGGCCUGAUGCCACUGUAAAGCAGUCUGAAGGACUACCUUGUCCUUGAGCCCCACCACAGAUCAGCUCUCAUGACAGUCUUCUUUCCAGGAUGGCUGUGAUAUGAUAAACAUGGACUGUGUGUUCCAAAUUUGAGUUAUCACACUUACCAACCCUGGGACUUGAGAAAGGUCUUCAAUAUCUUGUAUGUAGCUCAGUUUUCUCACUUAACAACAACAACAACAAAAUGGUACCAUCUUCUAGGGCUCUUAUAAAUGGAACACCCUCAGAUUGGCACGAAUUAAAAGAAUGGUUACCGCUUGUCAUUAUCAUCUCCAUUUGAGGACUGGUACCUGCCUUGUGUCUGGUGAUGUCUAUGAUAACACUACAGAGGAGUAAUGACUCCAGUGCAUAGAACAAUAGCCACAGCCCUUAUUUUGGCCUUGCACAGUUGAGCUUCAUUUGAUCAUUAUCCAAUGCCUUUCUUCUGCACUUUGGAUACAGUGUAUGCAGAAUUAAAAGCUGUUCUUUCUUGACUUUAGUGGGUAUGGGCCUGGAGCACUAAUUCUGGGAUUCUCUUUUACCUGUGUCCUUUCCCAUGAUCUUGUUCCUCCUGUCAGGACAAAGCCCUUGUUUACCCCACAAUGUUCUUGUACCCCAUACCUUACUGAAAUCUAUAUUGGAGGUGUGAAAGGAACAUGUAGACGAUCCAAUAGGUUUUAGUAUAACUACCAAGACCCACCAGUCCUAAGCUUCUGCAUUUGUUUUUGUAUCUAUGUCAUAUUGUAAGGUGAGAAUUUAAUAACAAAAGGUUGGAAAAUGAAC